AUACAUGCAGUCGAGCGGACCUUUUAAAGCUUGCUUUUGAAAGGUCAGCGGCGGACGGGUGAGUAACACGUGGGCAACCUGCCUGUAAGACUGGGAUAACUUCGGGAAACCGGAGCUAAUACCGGAUAAUAUAAGGAACCUCCUGGUUCUUUAUUGAAAGAUGGUUUCGGCUAUCACUUACAGAUGGGCCCGCGGCGCAUUAGCUAGUUGGUGAGGUAAUGGCUCACCAAGGCGACGAUGCGUAGCCGACCUGAGAGGGUGAUCGGCCACACUGGGACUGAGACACGGCCCAGACUCCUACGGGAGGCAGCAGUAGGGAAUCUUCCACAAUGGACGAAAGUCUGAUGGAGCAACGCCGCGUGAGCGAUGAAGGCCUUCGGGUCGUAAAGCUCUGUUGUUAGGGAAGAACAAGUGCGAGAGUAACUGCUCGCACCUUGACGGUACCUAACCAGAAAGCCACGGCUAACUACGUGCCAGCAGCCGCGGUAAUACGUAGGUGGCAAGCGUUGUCCGGAAUUAUUGGGCGUAAAGCGCGCGCAGGUGGUCCUUUAAGUCUGAUGUGAAAGCCCACGGCUCAACCGUGGAGGGUCAUUGGAAACUGGGGGACUUGAGUGCAGAAGAGGAAAGU
Molecule: ribosomal RNA, 628 nt
Filed under: Bacillus sp. (in: firmicutes)
Lineage: Bacteria; Bacillati; Bacillota; Bacilli; Caryophanales; Bacillaceae
Description: bacterial SSU rRNA
Rfam family: Bacterial small subunit ribosomal RNA
Source: RNAcentral